GACGAACGCUGGCGGCGUGCUUAACACAUGCAAGUCGAACGGGUCUGCCCUGUUUUUUGCGGGGUGGGUCAGUGGCGAACGGGUGAGUAACACGUGAGUAACCUGCCCCUCACUUCUGGAUAACCGCUUGAAAGGGUGGCUAAUACGGGGUGUUCUGGCUGUGCCGCAUGGUGUGGCUGGGAAAGAUUCACUUUUGUGGUGUUUUGGUGGGGGAUGGGCUCGCGGCCUAUCAGCUUGUUGGUGGGGUGAUGGCCUGCCAAGGCUUUGACGGGUAGCCGGCCUGAGAGGGUGGGCGGUCACACUGGGACUGAGAUACGGCCCAGACUCCUGCGGGAGGCAGCAGUGGGGGGUAUUGCACAAUGGGCGGAAGCCUGAUGCAGCGACGUCGCGUGAGGGAUGGAGGCCUUCGGGUUGUGAACCUCUUUCGCCGGUGAAGAAGGUCCUGCUCUUUAUGGUGGGGUUGACGGUAGCCGGGUUAUGAAGCGCCGGCUAACUACGUG
Molecule: ribosomal RNA, 500 nt
Filed under: uncultured bacterium
Lineage: Bacteria
Description: partial 16S ribosomal RNA
Rfam family: Bacterial small subunit ribosomal RNA
Source: RNAcentral